RNAcentral lists this long non-coding RNA (363 nucleotides) under Phoenix dactylifera (date palm). Its description in RNAcentral is "long non-coding RNA (PDAC_LNC021720)". The record is from RNAcentral. Lineage: Eukaryota; Viridiplantae; Streptophyta; Magnoliopsida; Arecales; Arecaceae.
AUAAUCCUACAGAUUACAGCCGGUUGUUUUACAAGCUCACAACCCAACUUGUUGUUUUAUGAGCGCACAACGAACUCGGUCGGUUUUCCCAGGCUCACUGACUAGAACCUCCCCGAUUGUUUUCCCGGGCUCAUAAUCAAAUCCUUACACGUUGGUUUUACCCUCGGCUCACCAACAAACCUAUCACCGUUGGUUUUUCCCUUUGGCUCACCAACAAACCUUACACCGUUGGUUUUCCCUUUGGCUCACCAACAAACCUUAAGCCCUUGAUUCAAUCCCUUGAUUGAAUCAAGUUACAAGAUAUUAAAAUAAAGGUUUAAAACAAAUCAAAGCUUCUUAAACAAGCAAAUAUAACAAUAUAAA